GAGGUAUCACACCAAAGUGCAAAUUUGGAGGGACACCUUAAAGGGUGUCGGGGCUUCU
This 58-nucleotide transfer RNA is filed under the name Blaesodactylus boivini. RNAcentral's name for it is "tRNA-Cys". Lineage: Eukaryota; Metazoa; Chordata; Lepidosauria; Squamata; Gekkonidae. The record is from RNAcentral.